UUUAACGGCCGCGGUAUUUUGACCGUGCAAAGGUAGCGCAAUCACUUGUCUUUUAAAUGAAGACCUGUAUGAAUGGCAAAACGAGGGCUUAACUGUCUCCCCUUUCCAGUCAAUGAAAUUGAUCUACCCGUGCAGAAGCGGGUAUAAAAAUACAAGACGAGAAGACCCUUUGGAGCUUAAGACCUAAACCACCUAUGUAAUAACCUAACAAACUAGUUUAAACUAAAUAGUAUUUGGCCAAAGUCUUCGGUUGGGGCGACCGCGGGGGAAAACAAAGCCCCCAUGUGGAACGGGGACAACCCCCCUAAAACCAAGAGAGACAUCUCUAAGCCACAGAACAUCUGACCAAAAAGAUCCGGCUACUAAAGCCGAUUAACGGACCAAGUUACCCUAGGGAUAACAGCGCAAUCCCCUCUCAGAGUCCCUAUCGACGAGGGGGUUUACGACCUCGAUGUUGGAUCAGGACAUCCUAAUGGUGCAGCCGCUAUUAAGGGUUCGUUUGUUCAACGAUUAAAGUCCUAC
RNAcentral lists this ribosomal RNA (522 nucleotides) under Sternopygus sp. 37350. Its description in RNAcentral is "partial 16S ribosomal RNA". It matches the Rfam family "Bacterial large subunit ribosomal RNA", at positions 1923 to 2599 of the family's 2925-position model. The record is from RNAcentral. Lineage: Eukaryota; Metazoa; Chordata; Actinopteri; Gymnotiformes; Sternopygidae.